UCUACGGGUGGCAGCAGUGAGGAAUAUUGGUCAAUGGGCGCGAGCCUGAACCAGCCAAGUAGCGUGAAGGAUGACUGCCCUACGGGUUGUAAACAUCUUUUAUAAAGGAAUAAAGUGAGGCACGUGUGCCUUUUUGUAUUUACUUUAUGAAAAAGGAACGGCUAACUCCGUGCCAGCCGCCGCGGUAAUACGGAGGAUCCGAGCGUUAUCCGGAUGUGAUGGGUUUAAAGGGAGCGUAGAUGGGUUGGUAAGUCAGUUGUGAAAGGUUGCGGCUCAACCGUAAAAUUGCAAUUGAUACUGGCAGGCUUGAGUACAGUUGAGGUAGGCGGAAUUCGUGGUGUAGCGGUGAAAUGCUUAGAUAUCACGAAGAACACCGAUUGCGAAGGCAGCUUACUAAACUGCCACUGACAUUGAUGCUCGAAAGUGUGGGUAGCAAACAGGAUUAGAUACCCUUGUAGUC
Molecule: ribosomal RNA, 460 nt
Filed under: uncultured bacterium
Lineage: Bacteria
Description: partial 16S ribosomal RNA
Rfam family: Bacterial small subunit ribosomal RNA
Source: RNAcentral